This 63-nucleotide ribosomal RNA is filed under the name Glycine max (soybean). RNAcentral's name for it is "rRNA SSU_rRNA_eukarya". The record is from RNAcentral. Lineage: Eukaryota; Viridiplantae; Streptophyta; Magnoliopsida; Fabales; Fabaceae.
GAAAGCUAGGGGAGCGAAUGGGAUUAGAUACCCCAAUAGUCCUAACUGUAAACGAUGGAUACU